GGGCGUGUGGUCUAGUGGUAUGAUACACCCUUAGGGUGGGUGUGGCCCUGGGUUCGAUUCCCAGCUCGCCCC
Molecule: transfer RNA, 72 nt
Filed under: Diutina rugosa
Lineage: Eukaryota; Fungi; Ascomycota; Pichiomycetes; Serinales; Debaryomycetaceae
Also listed under: 1 other name
Description: Candida rugosa tRNA
Rfam family: tRNA
About the family: Transfer RNA (tRNA) molecules are approximately 80 nucleotides in length. Their secondary structure includes four short double-helical elements and three loops (D, anti-codon, and T loops).
Source: Rfam by way of RNAcentral